Molecule: ribosomal RNA, 505 nt
Filed under: uncultured bacterium
Lineage: Bacteria
Description: bacterial SSU rRNA
Rfam family: Bacterial small subunit ribosomal RNA
Source: RNAcentral
UGAGUAAUGUCUGGGAAACUGCCCGAUGGAGGGGGAUAACUACUGGAAACGGUAGCUAAUACCGCAUAACGUCUUCGGACCAAAGUGGGGGACCUUCGGGCCUCACACCAUCGGAUGUGCCCAGAUGGGGAUUAGCUAGUAGGUGGGGUAAUGGCUCACCUAGGCGACGAUCCCUAGCUGGUCUGAGAGGAUGACCAGCCACACUGGAACUGAGACACGGUCCAGACUCCUACGGGAGGCAGCAGUGGGGAAUAUUGCACAAUGGGCGCAAGCCUGAUGCAGCCAUGCCGCGUGUAUGAAGAAGGCCUUCGGGUUGUAAAGUACUUUCAGUGGGGAGGAAGGCGUUAAGGUUAAUAACCUUGGCGAUUGACGUUACCCGCAGAAGAAGCACCGGCUAACUCCGUGCCAGCAGCCGCGGUAAUACGGAGGGUGCAAGCGUUAAUCGGAAUUACUGGGCGUAAAGCGCACGCAGGCGGUCUGUCAAGUCGGAUGUGAAAUCCCCGGG